Molecule: unclassified non-coding RNA, 113 nt
Filed under: uncultured Glomeraceae
Lineage: Eukaryota; Fungi; Glomeromycota; Glomeromycetes; Glomerales; Glomeraceae
Description: sequence contains ITS1
Source: RNAcentral
CCAAUCUUUUAGCGAGCCUUGGCUUUGCCCAUGGUCUUGCAAAAAAACUCUGUAUUUAAAACCCGCUCAUAAAUUAAAUUAAAAAACAUAAUUUUUGUUAUGAUAAUUAAAGA